This 68-nucleotide transfer RNA is filed under the name Triticum aestivum (bread wheat). The record is from RNAcentral. Lineage: Eukaryota; Viridiplantae; Streptophyta; Magnoliopsida; Poales; Poaceae.
AUCAGAGUGGCGCAGCGGUAGAGUGGUCAGCCCAUAACCCAAAGGUCCCAAGAUCGAAACCUGGCUCU